UUUUUUAUUUUUUUAGCAAUUAUGUGAUUCAAAUUAGGGAAUUAAAAAUUGCUGUAGAAUAUUCUCCGUCUGUGCACCUAUUUGGCAAAAAUUUUAAAGAUAUACAUGGUUUUUCUACUUAGCCAAGUUAUUACAAAUAAAUACCAGAAGAAAUGAUGUUCCUUGAAACCUUAUGUUAAAAAAUGGAAUCAACCAGUAAAGCUUCCCAAGAUGGUUCUGAUCCUGAUUUCAAAUGGGUUGAUUAUCUUGAGGAUACUAAUUCUACUCCAGCUCCAUCAGAAGCUUUUAUACAUGU
Molecule: long non-coding RNA, 295 nt
Organism: Uloborus diversus
Lineage: Eukaryota; Metazoa; Arthropoda; Arachnida; Araneae; Uloboridae
Exons: 3
Source: RefSeq, a predicted model, not a curated record